GACGAACGCUGGCGGCGUGCUUAACACAUGCAAGUCGAACGGAGUGGCGAACGGGUGUGUAACACGUGGGUGAACUGCCUUGCACUUCGGGAUAAGCUUGGGAAACUGGGUCUAAUACCGGAUAGUGCAAGAUGAGCUGGGGGCCUAUCAGCUCGUUGGUGGGGUAAUGUCCUACCAAGGCGUCGAAGGGUAGCCGGCCUGAGAGGGUGUACGGCCACAUUGGGACUGAGAUACGGACCAGACUCCAACGGGAGGCAGCAGUGGGGAAUAUUGCACAAUGGGCGGAAGCCUGAUGAAGCGGCGCCGCGUGGGGGAUGCAGGCUUUCGGGUUGUAAACUCCUUUCGACAGGGACGCGGUACCUGUAUAAGAAGCACCGGCUAACUACGUGCCAGCAGCCGCGGUAAUAC
This 408-nucleotide ribosomal RNA is filed under the name uncultured bacterium. Its description in RNAcentral is "partial 16S ribosomal RNA". It matches the Rfam family "Bacterial small subunit ribosomal RNA", at positions 28 to 526 of the family's 1533-position model. The record is from RNAcentral.